Molecule: ribosomal RNA, 305 nt
Filed under: uncultured bacterium
Lineage: Bacteria
Description: bacterial SSU rRNA
Rfam family: Bacterial small subunit ribosomal RNA
Source: RNAcentral
UUCCUACGGGGGGCAGCAGUGGGGAAUAUUGGACAAUGGGGGGAACCCUGAUCCAGCGACGCCGCGUGAGUGAAGAAGGUCUUCGGAUCGUAAACCUCUGUCAGCAGGGAAGAACGGUCACUGUGCUAAUCAGCAGUGAAUUGACGGUACCUGCAAAGGAAGCACCGGCUAACUCCGUGCCAGCAGCCGCGGUAAUACGGAGGGUGCGAGCGUUAAUCGGAAUUACUGGGCGUAAAGCGCUCGUAGGCGGUAUGUCAAGUCAAGGGUGAAAUCCCCGCGCUCAACGUGGGAACUGCCUUUGAAAC